RNAcentral lists this ribosomal RNA (253 nucleotides) under uncultured bacterium. RNAcentral describes it as "partial 16S ribosomal RNA". It matches the Rfam family "Bacterial small subunit ribosomal RNA", at positions 524 to 776 of the family's 1533-position model. The record is from RNAcentral.
UACGGAGGGUGCAAGCGUUAUCCGGAUUUACUGGGUUUAAAGGGGGCGUAGGUGGGUUGGGAAGUCAGUGGUGAAAUACUUUCGCUUAACGAAGGAACUGCCAUUGAUACUAUCAAUCUUGAAUACAGUGGAGGUAGGCGGAAUGCGUCAUGUAGCGGUGAAAUGCUUAGAUAUCGUCAAGAACACCGAUAGCGAAGGCAGCUAACUAAGCUUUAACUGACACUGAUGCACGAAAGUGUGGGGAUCAAACAGG